GCUCAGGACGAACGCUGGCGGCGUGCCUAAUACAUGCAAGUCGAACGAACUCUGGUAUUGAUUGGUGCUUGCAUCAUGAUUUACAUUUGAGUGAGUGGCGAACUGGUGAGUAACACGUGGGAAACCUGCCCAGAAGCGGGGGAUAACACCUGGAAACAGAUGCUAAUACCGCAUAACAACUUGGACCGCAUGGUCCGAGUUUGAAAGAUGGCUUCGGCUAUCACUUUUGGAUGGUCCCGCGGCGUAUUAGCUAGAUGGUGNGGUAACGGCUCACCAUGGCAAUGAUACGUAGCCGACCUGAGAGGGUAAUCGGCCACAUUGGGACUGAGACACGGCCCAAACUCCUACGGGAGGCAGCAGUAGGGAAUCUUCCACAAUGGACGAAAGUCUGAUGGAGCAACGCCGCGUGAGUGAAGAAGGGUUUCGGCUCGUAAAACUCUGUUGUUAAAGAAGAACAUAUCUGAGAGUAACUGUUCAGGUAUUGACGGUAUUUAACCAGAAAGCCACGGCUAACUACGUGCCAGCAGCCGCGGUAAUACGUAGGUGGCAAGCGUUGUCCGGAUUUAUUGGGCGUAAAGCGAGCGCAGGCGGUUUUUUAAGUCUGAUGUGAAAGCCUUCGGCUCAACCGAAGAAGUGCAUCGGAAACUGGGAAACUUGAGUGCAGAAGAGGACAGUGGAACUCCAUGUGUAGCGGUGAAAUGCGUAGAUAUAUGGAAGAACACCAGUGGCGAAGGCGGCUGUCUGGUCUGUAACUGACGCUGAGGCUCGAAAGUAUGGGUAGCAAACAGGAUUAGAUACCCUGGUAGUCCAUACCGUAAACGAUGAAUGCUAAGUGUUGGAGGGUUUCCGCCCUUCAGUGCUGCAGCUAACGCAUUAAGCAUUCCGCCUGGGGAGUACGGCCGCAAGGCUGAAACUCAAAGGAAUUGACGGGGGCCCGCACAAGCGGUGGAGCAUGUGGUUUAAUUCGAAGCUACGCGAAGAACCUUACCAGGUCUUGACAUACUAUGCAAAUCUAAGAGAUUAGACGUUCCCUUCGGGGACAUGGAUACAGGUGGUGCAUGGUUGUCGUCAGCUCGUGUCGUGAGAUGUUGGGUUAAGUCCCGCAACGAGCGCAACCCUUAUUAUCAGUUGCCAGCAUUAAGUUGGGCACUCUGGUGAGACUGCCGGUGACAAACCGGAGGAAGGUGGGGAUGACGUCAAAUCAUCAUGCCCCUUAUGACCUGGGCUACACACGUGCUACAAUGGAUGGUACAACGAGUUGCGAACUCGCGAGAGUAAGCUAAUCUCUUAAAGCCAUUCUCAGUUCGGAUUGUAGGCUGCAACUCGCCUACAUGAAGUCGGAAUCGCUAGUAAUCGCGGAUCAGCAUGCCGCGGUGAAUACGUUCCCGGGCCUUGUACACACCGCCCGUCACACCAUGAGAGUUUGAACACCCAAAGUCGGUGGGGUAACC
RNAcentral lists this ribosomal RNA (1451 nucleotides) under Lactiplantibacillus plantarum. RNAcentral's name for it is "bacterial SSU rRNA". It matches the Rfam family "Bacterial small subunit ribosomal RNA". Lineage: Bacteria; Bacillati; Bacillota; Bacilli; Lactobacillales; Lactobacillaceae. The record is from RNAcentral.